RNAcentral lists this ribosomal RNA (497 nucleotides) under uncultured bacterium. Its description in RNAcentral is "partial 16S ribosomal RNA". It matches the Rfam family "Bacterial small subunit ribosomal RNA", at positions 28 to 507 of the family's 1533-position model. The record is from RNAcentral.
GAUGAACGCUGGCGGCGUGCCUAAUACAUGCAAGUCGAGCGAACGGACGAGAAGCUUGCUUCUCUGAUGUUAGCGGCGGACGGGUGAGUAACACGUGGAUAACCUACCUAUAAGACUGGGAUAACUUCGGGAAACCGGAGCUAAUACCGGAUAAUAUUUUGAACCGCAUGGUUCAAAAGUGAAAGACGGUCUUGCUGACACUUAUAGAUGGAUCCGCGCUGCAUUAGCUAGUUGGUAAGGUAACGGCUUACCAAGGCAACGAUGCAUAGCCGACCUGAGAGGGUGAUCGGCCACACUGGAACUGAGACACGGUCCAGACUCCUGCGGGAGGCAGCAGUAGGGAAUCUUCCGCAAAGGGCGAAAGCCUGACGGAGCAACGCCGCGUGAGUGAUGAAGGUCUUCGUAUCGUAAAACUCUGUUAUUAGGGAAGAACAUAUGUGUAAGUAACUGUGCACAUCUUGACGGUACCUAAUCAGAAAGCCAGGGCUAACUACGUG